AUAUUCGGGAAAUGCUGAUCUCGCGUGUAUCACCUUUGUGACGGCAUAGGAAUGGUUGGGACCGUGGUUGAUCACUUGGUUAACCUUUAAAGCUCUGUGGUGGAGAUAAACUGCAAAAACCAAGCCUUUGUCGUCGUGUCAUGUUAAUUCUUAGAAAGAUUCCAUAAGGUGACAUCUGCCGGAUCACGCUAAAACAGCUGUGAAGAUAUCAAGUGUUUCACCAGCGCACAAUAUCAUUCUUGAAGUUGACACAACUUGCGUUAAUUUAAAGUGAAAAUCAUGUUUCAAUUUCUCUUGAAACGAACUCUGUCACAAGCACGUCAUGCUUUGCGCUUUGAAUCACUUCAAUUAACCAAAACUGCAUCACUUUCGAGCCACAUUAAACGAGAACCGAGCUCCACAAGUAUCGGAAUCACAAAGGUCAUGGUUGUAUUGGUUCCUGGGAUGUACUUUGGCGGACGAUUGGGAAGAAACUUGGCUGAAUUUUUAGACGAGUGGAGUAUUUUCAAUGCUGAAGACGACGAUGAAGAUGACUAGGAAUUUAACACGCUUGUGCCGGUGAUGUGAAAUGGUAAUUUUCUACUCUGCACACAAACUUUACCACAUGAAUAUUAUAUUUUAAGACACAAGGAGAAGAUCCCAACAAGAUUGAUUUCUAAAACCAAUAAUAUUUUUAUAAGAACAAAUCUGUAUUAAUUUUUUUUAUUUUUAACAGAAAUUUUACAUUAAGGGUGGCAAAUUCAUAUUUAACACGCAUGAGUAAGUUUUAGUUUUUUUUACUCUGGCUCUACUGUAAAUUAAAUAGCUGAAUCCUAGUUUAUGUGGAUUGAAUAAAAAAUUAAGUGAUGUUUGUGAUGAACAA
This is a long non-coding RNA of Pocillopora damicornis (cauliflower coral), 862 nucleotides long. RefSeq lists it as uncharacterized. The record is from RefSeq and is a predicted model, not a curated record. Lineage: Eukaryota; Metazoa; Cnidaria; Anthozoa; Scleractinia; Pocilloporidae.